RNAcentral lists this ribosomal RNA (795 nucleotides) under uncultured bacterium. Its description in RNAcentral is "bacterial SSU rRNA". It matches the Rfam family "Bacterial small subunit ribosomal RNA", at positions 8 to 796 of the family's 1533-position model. The record is from RNAcentral.
AGAGUUUGAUCAUGGCUCAGAUUGAACGCUGGCGGCAGGCCUAACACAUGCAAGUCGAGCGGCAGCACGGGUACUUGUACCUGGUGGCGAGCGGCGGACGGGUGAGUAAUGCCUAGGAAUCUGCCUGGUAGUGGGGGAUAACGUUCGGAAACGAACGCUAAUACCCCAUACGUCCUACGGGAGAAAGCAGGGGACCUUCGGGCCUUGCGCUAUCAGAUGAGCCUAGGUCGGAUUAGCUAGUUGGUGAGGUAAUGGCUCACCAAGGCGACGAUCCGUAACUGGUCUGAGAGGAUGAUCAGUCACACUGGAACUGAGACACGGUCCAGACUCCUACGGGAGGCAGCAGUGGGGAAUAUUGGACAAUGGGCGAAAGCCUGAUCCAGCCAUGCCGCGUGUGUGAAGAAGGUCUUCGGAUUGUAAAGCACUUUAAGUUGGGAGGAAGGGCAUUUACCUAAUACGUAAGUGUUUUGACGUUACCGACAGAAUAAGCACCGGCUAACUCUGUGCCAGCAGCCGCGGUAAUACAGAGGGUGCAAGCGUUAAUCGGAAUUACUGGGCGUAAAGCGCGCGUAGGUGGUUCGUUAAGUUGGAUGUGAAAUCCCCGGGCUCAACCUGGGAACUGCAUCCAAAACUGGCGAGCUAGAGUAUGGUAGAGGGUGGUGGAAUUUCCUGUGUAGCGGUGAAAUGCGUAGAUAUAGGAAGGAACACCAGUGGCGAAGGCGACCACCUGGACUGAUACUGACACUGAGGUGCGAAAGCGUGGGGAGCAAACAGGAUUAGAUACCCUAGUAGUCC